CACGUAGUUAGCUGUGACUUUCUGGUUGAAUACCGUCACUGCGUGAACAGUUACUCUCACGCACGUUCUUCUUCAACAACAGAGUUUUACGAGCCGAAACCCUUCUUCACUCACGCGGUGUUGCUCCAUCAGGCUUGCGCCCAUUGUGGAAGAUUCCCUACUGCUGCCUCCCGUAGGAGUAUGGACCGUGUCUCAGUUCCAUUGUGGCCGAUCAGUCUCUCAACUCGGCUAUGCAUCAUUGCCUUGGUAAGCCGUUACCUUACCAACUAGCUAAUGCACCGCGGGCCCAUCCUGGAGUGAUAGCCGAAGCCAUCUUUGAAGUCAAAACCAUGUGGUUUUGACUAUUAUGCGGUAUUAGCAUCUGUUUCCAAAUGUUAUCCCCCGCUCCAGGGCAGGUUGCCCACGUGUUACUCACCCGUCCGCCGCUCACUGGUAAUCCAUCGUCAAAUCAGUGCAAGCACGUCAUAUCAGUUGGGCCAGUGCC
This 484-nucleotide ribosomal RNA is filed under the name uncultured Lactobacillus sp. RNAcentral's name for it is "partial 16S ribosomal RNA". The record is from RNAcentral. Lineage: Bacteria; Bacillati; Bacillota; Bacilli; Lactobacillales; Lactobacillaceae.